Molecule: long non-coding RNA, 1271 nt
Filed under: Vulpes vulpes (red fox)
Lineage: Eukaryota; Metazoa; Chordata; Mammalia; Carnivora; Canidae
Description: lncRNA (ENSVVUG00000009122.1)
Source: RNAcentral
GAACAUUUUAAAUUCUAAAAUUUGUUAGCCUCGUUGGAAUUGAAAGUUCUGUAUGUUAGUUAGGAACAACGUAAUUUAAUGUCUAGAAUAACAUAUUUUUACUCUAGUGUUACAUGACUUUAUAGAUGGUACAAAGAUCUUUGUGUGGUAUAACAAGAAAAUUCUAAAACUAUUAGUUCUGUAACUACUUUAAACUUAAAUUAUCUAAACUUCUGACAGUUACCACAGGAAACAUUUAAAAGUAAUCCUAGAAAGUGCAAAAUGUGUCAAGUUUGAUAUAUGUUAAAAGAAAAGCUUCAUUUCUUCUUAAACUAAUUGACAAUAAAGAGUUACCUGUCUAUCUGUCUUUGUCUAACAUUUUCCAGCUGGAUAAAUUCAAUUAUUACUAAACUUGACAAAAAGCAAUGAUAUUAUUAAUGAAAUUAACACAUGAUGUUAAAUUUUUACCACAAUAUUCCAGUGAUUUUUAAUUAAGUGCAUGUAAUUAGAGAUAAGAGGAGUUCAUAGGUGAGAAUGUGAAUUAUUCGAGUUUGUUAUUCUUAUUUUUGAUAGAAUAGCAACCUAUCAUUUGCACAUUUCAAAAGUUAAAUAUUAUCAUGUUUCUAGAUUAUUACCUACAAUUUAAGUAUACCUCUGUCCUUCUCAGGAAACUCAUUUGUUACACUUAACAGGGCCAUUACAUUUAUAUGUGUCAAACAUGGAGUGUCAAAGGUCAAAGAGUCCUCUAAAACCUUGACAGCAUUUAGGUAGGUAGGUAGGUGGGUGGGUGGGUAGAUAGAUAGACAGACAGACAUGAACAUGGAUACUAUGACAUUAAGUGAAUUACAAAAUUAUUAUAAUCUUUAUGCUAUAUAGACACACAAAAAUAUAUUUAAAAAUAGCACAUAUAUUUAAGAUGAGGGUUUUAAAUAGAAUGGAAAAGUUCCGUUUGAUUCAGUUCAACAAACAACUAUGAAUUUUAUCUUAUGUGUUUGGCUCUGUAUCAGGUCCCAGAUAUCCAUAUGUCAAGUUCCUGCUUCAAGGACUGAAGCUGUCAAAAAGGUCUCUUUAUGCACCUGGUUACAUCAAGUCAUAAUGGAGAGAUAAUUCUGUUUCCUCAACCACAUUAUCAUCUAAUUUUCUACUUCUUGAAGAAGCUUGGGCAAUCUACAUGAAACCCAACAGAACUGAGGAAACUUGAUAUGAACAUUAUCAAGCAAGUAUUCUAUAUUAUUCUUUCUGUUUUGUCCAUGAAAGAGAAUUGUUGAAUCUAACAGUUUACUGUGUUUUUU